This 253-nucleotide ribosomal RNA is filed under the name uncultured bacterium. Its description in RNAcentral is "partial 16S ribosomal RNA". It matches the Rfam family "Bacterial small subunit ribosomal RNA", at positions 524 to 776 of the family's 1533-position model. The record is from RNAcentral.
UACGUACUGUGCGAGCGUUAUUCGGAAUCACUGGGCUUAAAGGGUGAGUAGGCGGCCUUUCAGGUCAGGGGUGAAAUACCACGGCUCAACCGUGGUGCUGCCCCUGAAACCGUUAGGCUUGAGUUUGCCAGGGGCGCGCGGAACUGCCAGUGGAGCGGUGAAAUGUGUUGAGAUUGGCAGGAACACCGGAGCCGAAAGGGGCGCGCUGGGGCGAGUCUGACGCUGAAUCACGAAAGCCAGGGUAGCGAACGGG